This 955-nucleotide long non-coding RNA is filed under the name Panax ginseng (ginseng). Its description in RNAcentral is "long non-coding RNA (PGIN_LNC000892)". Lineage: Eukaryota; Viridiplantae; Streptophyta; Magnoliopsida; Apiales; Araliaceae. The record is from RNAcentral.
UGCAAACCGUGGACCCACACCGACACUCUUCCCCUUCGCACCCAGGAGCGGAGAAACCAAACCAUUAAACCCCCUCUCUUUCUCUCUCCUCUUUUUCUCUCUCUCACUCACUAUAAACACAUAAUAUUACAAUCCCCUCCGAUUCAACUGCUAAAUCUGCGGUACCGAUCACCCACGAUCUUCCGCCAAGCUUCUUUCUCUCUACUAAAUCACUACUUUUGUAUCUCCGCCAACGUCACCUUUUAGCGCCGCCGUGGGCGCUGUUUCCGAUCAUUUGAUGGACGCUUCAAACAAUUACCUAAACGAAUAUCAACAUACUCAUAGCUUUGCUGGUUCUCAGAGAGACGUCACUUACAGGUGUGUGCAAUUUCACUUUCAUCAGAUCAGUUGUUGUCAAUGAUAUCAUUAAAUUUUUUUUGUCAAAUCAUAAUUCAUGAAAAAAAAUUGAUUUUUGUUUUAGUAUAUAUAAUACUGAUUUGGGUUUAUGUUUGUAUUUUGUGUUCUGUUUAAAGCAAAUAUAGAUUAAACAUAGUGGACUGUUGUUGUUUUUCUUUUUCCGGUUGAUUUGUUGGUCUAGGGUCCUGUUUGGGAGCAUGAAUUAGUGAGCUCAUGGUUGAAUUUUAAUUACUCAGAAGAGUUAAUCACGAACUUUGGUAACAUGAAUUUUCAACUGUUAUGACAGUGAUAGGGAAUGCUAAAAUAUGGAGGCUAAGCAUCCAAACUUUGUACAAUGAUAUGAAUAUAUAACAUUCGAUGAAGGACAAGUUCUGCAAGGAUUUAGAAAAGGGUAAGGGGGAAGAAAGAAGGGAAAAAUAGGAGAAGAAAAGCUGCCGGAAGGCCACAGUGGCAUAAAGUCUCACAUCAAAUCAAAACUAAUUUUCCGUCCGUUUCAAAAUAUGAGAUUACUUUUCUUUGUAUUUUUACAAAGGCAAGUGAUCUUAUAUAUCAAGUGUAG